AAUAUUGCGCAAUGGAGGGAACGCUGACGCAGCGACGCCGCGUGAGCUAUGAAGGUCUUCGGAACUUAAAUCUCUGUCCUUGGGGAAGAAGGUCUUCGGACUUGACGGUACCUAAGGAGGAAGCCCCGGCUAACUACGUGCCAGCAGCCGCGGUAAUACGUAGGGGGCAAGCGUUGUCCGGAAGUAUUGGGCGUAAAGGGUGCGUAGGCGGCCUUUUAAAUCAGGUGUGAAAGCCCACGGCUUAACCGUGGGAUUGCAUUUGAAACUGGAAGGCUUGAGUAUCGGAGAGGAUAGUGGAAUUCCCAGUGUAGCGGUGGAAUGCGUAGAUAUUGGGAGGAACACCAGUGGCGAAGGCGACUACCUGGACGAAAACUGACGCUGAGGCACGAAAGCUAGGGGAGCAAACA
RNAcentral lists this ribosomal RNA (407 nucleotides) under uncultured bacterium. RNAcentral describes it as "partial 16S ribosomal RNA". It matches the Rfam family "Bacterial small subunit ribosomal RNA", at positions 360 to 774 of the family's 1533-position model. The record is from RNAcentral.